Molecule: long non-coding RNA, 965 nt
Organism: Anopheles gambiae (African malaria mosquito)
Lineage: Eukaryota; Metazoa; Arthropoda; Insecta; Diptera; Culicidae
Exons: 2
Source: RefSeq, a predicted model, not a curated record
GUUUUUUUACAAUGUUGCGUUGAGCAACAGUCAAACGAACGCGACGACUUUCCAGAUAUCUUUACAAAGUAUAUUUAUUGCCGAAAGCUUAACUAACGGUGAAACAAGUAAAAAAACUUUUGUCUCGUCGUACGGUUGGAAAGAAAAGAAUCGCUGCCGCACUCUGUUUCUUUCCGUACACCCGCCUUAUCCUUUCUGUUCACCUUAUCCGUGUGUUAUCAAUUAUCCGUGUGUUAUCAAGUAUCCGUGUGGCAUAUUUUACACCGGGCAGUCAUCAAUACGCGUUAAUAUCAUUACAUCGGACAGUUGCCAAACUCGUCGCAACACUUGAUGAUCACAAGCUGGUUUUCUUGCAGUGACACCGAUUGCCCGUUGCAAUGUUUGGCUCGCGCUUGCAGUUGUUGCAGAUACUCCGGAUACCAUCUAGCCCAAAUGUUUUGCAUGUGUUUCUGCACCAACUGGAACUCCUUCAAUCGAUUGUCUGGUGUUCCGGUGUGAUCGACGUCUGGUACCGCUUGCAUAUUAGAGCCGAUGAGAAAGUGUCCCGGCGUCAACGGUUCUAAAUCAGAAGGCUCAUCUGAUAAAGUAGUUAAUGGUCGAGAAUUCAAACACUGUUCCACUUGUGCCAGCAGGCUGCCUUCACCGCUGCCUCCCAUAAACCUCCGAAGUGUGGUGCCCGUGGAGGGAUAAAUUUCCAUUGGAUUUCGUUCGUCGCGUACCAAUUGAAAAUAGUAAUACGAUCGUUCUCAUCGCAUUUGAGCAUUUUGUAAAUGCGGUUCAGCUCGUGCGAUGCUCCCUUAAAUGUAGUGGCAUUAUCUGAGUGUAGCUCACUAAUUUGUCCGCGACGUGCAACUAAACGGCGUAGUGCAUUUAAAAAUGAUGUGGUGGUGAGAUCGGCUACGAGUUCAAUAUGAACGGCUCUUGUAGAAAAGCAUACAAAUAUCGCAAUAUAUGCUUUGAUUGGA